This 253-nucleotide ribosomal RNA is filed under the name uncultured bacterium. Its description in RNAcentral is "partial 16S ribosomal RNA". It matches the Rfam family "Bacterial small subunit ribosomal RNA", at positions 524 to 776 of the family's 1533-position model. The record is from RNAcentral.
UACGAAGGGUGCAAGCGUUGUUCGGAAUUACUGGGCGUAAAGGGCGUGUAGGCGGCUCGAUUAGUUAGAUGUGAAAGCCCAGGGCUCAACCUUGGAACUGCAUUUAAUACUGUCGAGCUAGAAUCCAGGAGGGGACAGUGGAAUUCCGAGUGUAGAGGUGAAAUUCGUAGAUAUUCGGAAGAACACCAGUGGCGAAGGCGACUGUCUGGACUGGUAUUGACGCUGAGGCGCGAAAGCGUGGGGAGCAAACAGG